RNAcentral lists this ribosomal RNA (440 nucleotides) under uncultured bacterium. Its description in RNAcentral is "partial 16S ribosomal RNA". It matches the Rfam family "Bacterial small subunit ribosomal RNA", at positions 338 to 795 of the family's 1533-position model. The record is from RNAcentral.
CCUACGGGAGGCAGCAGUGGGGAAUAUUGCACAAUGGGGGAAACCCUGAUGCAGCGACGCCGCGUGAGCGAUGAAGUAUUUCGGUAUGUAAAGCUCUAUCAGCAGGGAAGAAAAUGACGGUACCUGACUAAGAAGCCCCGGCUAACUACGUGCAAGCAGCCGCGGUAAUACGUAGGGGGCAAGCGUUAUCCGGAUUUACUGGGUGUAAAGGGAGCGUAGACGGCGGUGCAAGCCAGAUGUGAAAGCCCGGGGCUCAACCCCGGGACUGCAGUUGGAACUGUGCUGCUAGAGUGGCGGAGAGGCAGGCGGAAUGCCCGGUGUAGCGGUGAAAUGCGUAGAUAUUAGGAGGAACACCAGUGGCGAAGGCGGCCUACUGGACGAUGACUGACGUUGAGGCUCGAAAGCGUGGGGAGCAAACAGGAUUAGAUACCCCGGUAGUC